AGUGAACGCUGGCGGCGUGCUUAACACAUGCAAGUCGAACGAGAACGGAUUAUAGCUUGCUAUAAUUGUCAGCUAAGUGGCGCACGGGUGAGUAAUGUAUAGGUAAUAUGCCUCUUACUAAGGGAUAACAAAUGGAAACGUUUGCUAAUACCUUAUACUCCUUAUUAACCUCAGUUAAUAAGGGAAAGAUUUAUUGGUAAGAGAUUAGCCUGUAUUGUAUCAGUUAGUUGGUGGGGUAAUGGCUUACCAAGACUAUGACACAUAACUGGUUUGAGAGGAUGAUCAGUCACACUGGAACUGAGACACGGUCCAGACUCCUACGGGAGGCAGCAGUGGGGAAUAUUGCACAAUGGACGAAAGUCUGAUGCAGCAACGCCGCGUGGAGGAUGACACAUUUCGGUGCGUAAACUCCUCUUAUAUGAGAAGAUAAUGACGGUAUUAUAUGAAUAAGCACCGGCUAACUCCGUGCCAGCAGCCGCCGCGG
This 484-nucleotide ribosomal RNA is filed under the name uncultured bacterium. RNAcentral describes it as "partial 16S ribosomal RNA". It matches the Rfam family "Bacterial small subunit ribosomal RNA", at positions 29 to 523 of the family's 1533-position model. The record is from RNAcentral.